AACGUACGCUGGCGGCACGCCUAACACAUGCAAGUCGAACGAAGUAGCAAUACUUAGUGGCAGACGGGUGAGUAACAUGUAGGUAUCUGCCCUUUGGCCUGGAAUAACACGAGGAAACUUGUGCUAAUACCGGAUAAGUCUUUACGGAGAAAGCUUUAUGCACCAUUGGAUGAGCCUGCACUUGAUUAGUUUGUUGGUGGGGUAAUGGCCUACCAAGACUGUGAUCAAUAGCUGAUUUGAGAGGAUGAUCAGCCACAUUGGGACUGAGACACGGCCCAAACUCCUACGGGAGGCAGCAGUGGGGAAUCUUGCACAAUGGAGGAAACUCUGAUGCAGCGAUGCCGCGUGAGUGAAGAAGGCCCUUGGGUUGUAAAGCUCUUUCGUCGGGGAAGAAAAUGACUGUACCCGAACAAGAAGGUCCGGCUAACUUCGUGCCAGCAGCCGCGGUAAUACGAAGGGACCUAGCGUAGUUCGGAAUUACUGGGCUUAAAGAGUUCGUAGGUGGUUGAAAAAGUUAGUGGUGAAAUCCCAGAGCUUAACUCUGGAACUGCCAUUAAAACUUUUCAGCUAGAGUAUGAUAGAGGAAAGCAGAAUUUCUAGUGUAGAGGUGAAAUUCGUAGAUAUUAGAAAGAAUACCAAUUGCGAAGGCAGCUUUCUGGAUCAUUACUGACACUGAGGAACGAAAGCAUGGGUAGCGAAGAGGAUUAGAUACCCUCGUAGUCCAUGCCGUAAACGAUGUGUGUUAGACGUUGGAAAUUUAUUUUCAGUGUCGCAGGGAAACCGAUAAACACACCGCCUGGGGAGUACGACCGCAAGGUUAAAACUCAAAUGAAUUGACGGGGACCCGCACAAGUAGUGGAGCAUGUGGUUUAAUUCGAAGAUACGCGCAGAACCUUACCAGCACUUGACAUGUUCGUCGCGACUCUAAGAGAUUAGAGUUUUCGGUUCGGCCGGACGAAACACAGGUGCUGCAUGGCUGUCGUCAGCUCGUGUCGUGAGAUGUUGGGUUAAGUCCCGCAACGAGCGCAACCCUCACUUUUAGUUGCCAUCAUUAAGUUGGGCACUCUGAAAGAACUGCCAGUGAUAAGCUGGAGGAAGGUGGGGAUGACGUCAAGUCCUCAUGGCCCUUACGUGUUGGGCUACACACGUGCUACAAUGGUAUCUACAACAGGAAGCAAGACUGCGAAGUUAAGCAAAUCCCUAAAAGAUACCUCAGUUCGGAUUGCACUCUGCAACUCGAGUGCAUGAAGCUGGAAUUACUAGUAAUCGUGGAUCAGCGUGCCACGGUGAAUGCGUUCCCGGGUCU
Molecule: ribosomal RNA, 1306 nt
Filed under: uncultured bacterium
Lineage: Bacteria
Description: bacterial SSU rRNA
Rfam family: Bacterial small subunit ribosomal RNA
Source: RNAcentral